GAUGAACGCUGGCGGCGUGCCUAAUACAUGCGAGUCGAGCGAACAGACGAGGAGCUUGCUCCUCUGACGUUAGCGGCGGACGGGUGAGUAACACGUGGAUAACCUACCUAUAAGACUGGGAUAACUUCGGGAAACCGGAGCUAAUACCGGAUAAUAUAUUGAACCGCAUGGUUCAAUAGUGAAAGACGGUUUUGCUGUCACUUAUAGAUGGAUCCGCGCCGCAUUAGCUAGUUGGUAAGGUAACGGCUUACCAAGGCAACGAUGCGUAGCCGACCUGAGAGGGUGAUCGGCCACACUGGAACUGAGACACGGUCCAGACUCCUACGGGAGGCAGCAGUAGGGAAUCUUCCGCAGUGGGCGAAAGCCUGACGGAGCAACGCCGCGUGAGUGAUGAAGGUCUUCGGAUCGUAAAACUCUGUUAUUAGGGAAGAACAAAUGUGUAAGUAACUAUGCACGUCUUGACGGUACCUAAUCAGAAAGCCACGGCUAACUACGUG
This 497-nucleotide ribosomal RNA is filed under the name uncultured bacterium. RNAcentral's name for it is "partial 16S ribosomal RNA". It matches the Rfam family "Bacterial small subunit ribosomal RNA", at positions 28 to 507 of the family's 1533-position model. The record is from RNAcentral.